GUGGACGUAGCUCAACGGUUAGAGCACUAGACUGUGGAUCUAGGUGUUGAGGGUUCGAAUCCCUUCGUCCACCCCA
RNAcentral lists this transfer RNA (76 nucleotides) under Anaerolineae bacterium. RNAcentral's name for it is "tRNA-His". It matches the Rfam family "tRNA". From Rfam's summary of the family: Transfer RNA (tRNA) molecules are approximately 80 nucleotides in length. Their secondary structure includes four short double-helical elements and three loops (D, anti-codon, and T loops). Lineage: Bacteria; Bacillati; Chloroflexota; Anaerolineae. The record is from RNAcentral.